UGGGGGAUUUUGCACAAUGGGCGCAAGCCUGAUGCAGCGACGCCGCGUGAGGGAUGAAGGCCUUCGGGUUGUAAACCUCUUUCGCUGGGUUGAAAGGCCUUGCUUUGGGUGUGGUUGAUUUGAACUGGUAAAGAAGUACCGGCUAACUACGUGCCAGCAUCCGCGGUAAUACGUAGGGUACUAGCGUUGUCCGGUUUUAUUGGGCGUAAAGGGCUUGUAGGUGGUUUGUCGCGUCUGUCGUGAAAUCCUGUGGCUUAACCAUGGGCUUGCGGUGGGUACGGGCAGGCUUGAGGGCGGUAGGGGAGACGGGAAAUCCUGGUGUAGCGGUGGAAUGCGCAGAUAUCAGGAGGAACACCGGUGGCGAAGGCGGGUCUCUGGGCCGUUACUGACACUGAGGAGCGAAAGCGUGGGGAGCGAACAGG
This 422-nucleotide ribosomal RNA is filed under the name Fusobacteriota bacterium. RNAcentral describes it as "Fusobacteria bacterium partial 16S ribosomal RNA". It matches the Rfam family "Bacterial small subunit ribosomal RNA", at positions 355 to 776 of the family's 1533-position model. Lineage: Bacteria; Fusobacteriati; Fusobacteriota. The record is from RNAcentral.